CCUACGGGUGGCAGCAGUGAGGAAUAUUGGUCAAUGGGCGGAAGCCUGAACCAGCCAAGUAGCGUGCAGGAUGACGGCCCUACGGGUUGUAAACUGCUUUUAUACGGGAAUAACGCGCCUUACGUGUAGGGCUUUGCAUGUACCGUAUGAAUAAGGCCCGGCUAAUUCCGUGCCAGCAGCCGCGGUAAUACGGAAGGUCCGGGCGUUAACCGGAUUUAUUGGGGUUAAAGGGAGCGUAGGCCGCAUGUCAAGCGUGCUGUGAAAUGUCCGGGCUCAACCCGGGCCUUGCAGCGCGAACUGGCGUGCUUGAGUCCGCGGAAAGCAGGCGGAAUUCGUGGUGUAGCGGUGAAAUGCUUAGAUAUGACGAAGAACCCCGAUUGCGAAGGCAGCUUGCUGCAGCGGAACUGACGCUGAUGCUCGAAAGCGCGGGGAUCGAACAGGAUUAGAUACCCGGGUAGUC
RNAcentral lists this ribosomal RNA (460 nucleotides) under uncultured bacterium. RNAcentral describes it as "partial 16S ribosomal RNA". It matches the Rfam family "Bacterial small subunit ribosomal RNA", at positions 338 to 795 of the family's 1533-position model. The record is from RNAcentral.